GACAAGAGUUAACAUUUAACAUACUCAAAUUCAUUUAUUUUGCAAUUGACUUAUGGUAUUUCUCCAUUUUCGAAUAUACUAGAAGUCAAAAACAGAAAAAAAAAUGAGCCUCAUGUUUUUCAACCUUCAACCUUCAAGGAUCUAGAGGGGAGGAAAUGAAAACAUCUGCCUUCAUAAAGGUGCUGCUCUUUCCUUCCAGGAUUCCCCAGGGCAUCCUUGGAGUGCCCCCAGUUUGAAUUGGAGAUAAAAGGUAUGGUCUUGUUGAAAUUGCCCCCAAAUUGAGCUGCACCUUCCAAUUGAGGCAGAAAGAAUCGCCUUUUGAUACGUUCCACAAUUGGAAUGCAAAUUCUCUCCCAUCUCCUAGACACCUGGGCCUGCCCCCAUUUUUCUUGACUGUAAUCUGUUUAGCUUGUGCAUAAAAUGGCAAAAACAAAGAGUCUUUCUGUAAAAGAAAAAGAAGAGGAAAGAAAGUAGAUUCUGUGUCCUCUUCCUUAGUCCUUGCCAAAUCUUUGCUCCCAGGCCUCGGCAGGUGGCAGUGUACAUGAGUCAUGCAGUCUAUCUUUCUGUUUUGUUUGUUAUUAACCACUGAAAUGAUGGCACCAUUCCUGGAGUUAGGCCUUCAACCAAAGAGCUGGGCCAUCCGUGGCAAUGCCUCCCAGGCUUGGGAGCUGGGAAAAGGCCCCAGGAGCUAGGGCAUCCUGAUUGUUCUUUCAAAGAAAUCCCUCUUGUUCUUAGUCAACAUGCUGGAUACCAGCUAAAAAAUGCAAAAUGAUCUUCAGGCAGGGAUGGCACAGGACCCUUGCUGAGCUGUGAAGCCUGGCUGUGAGGAUUCCUGCAUGGAAACAUCAACAUGUUGCCAGAUUGGUAUACGACUCAACACCACACUGACAUGCUGCUCCCAAACAGUGCCUUUGAAUCAAGACCCAGUCAUCGUAUUCGAAGAAAAAGGAAAUAUCCCUGACCAUGUUGGGACUUAACACUGCUUCACAGAGUCCAUGGAGUUCCUGGUGACUAAUGCCAUCCACAAGAUCUGAAGGUGUUGUGUAACCUAGACCUGGCCCUUCUCUCAGUGCAUCCCCCUCUCCAGAGUGACCAACUCAGAGAGGUCAUGUGCUUAAGGAGAAGUUGACUGUCUGCAACCUGGAAGCAAGCCCUCACCAGAAGCUGACCAUGCUUGCACCCUGGUCUCAAACUUCCAGCCUCCAAAACUGUGAGAAUAAAUAUCUGUUGUUUGAAAGCCACCCAGAGUACCAUAGUACUCUGUUACAGCAGCUCAAACUGACUGAGACCCUCUUUAACAAUGACAAUAAAACUAAGAAUGGCUAAAAUGUACUGAGUGCUGACUAGAUUGGACACCGGCAGUGCCACACACACCACAUAAAUGAUGUCACCUGAUUGUCAAAACAGAUCUAGGGAGGAAAAUUCUAGAGACAUGAAAACUGCAGCUUGGUUCUCAGGAAGGAAGUGCAGAAGUCGUCAGGUCUUUCUGCCCUUAAAAUCAGAGCUCUCAACCCCCAUGGCAUUCUGCUGGCAAAGUUCUCUAAACUAAAGAGGCUUCAUGAGAGAUGCUUAGCAGGAGCCAGGAGAGCAGCCUAAUCCCACAGGGAGGACAUGCAAGCCUGCUGGAAGGCUGAGGGGUUCAGGGAAGGCUGCCUCGGCCCUCCUUCGGGCCACACGUUCCCGACCUGGAUUAUUUCCUAAAAUGGUUUCAUUUUACAAAUGAGCAUGAGGCUCCGCUGGAAGCAGCCAACAUUGGCAGAGAUUAAAUAAUUAGCAUUUCAAAGUGUUCGUUUUCAUUUUCCUCUUUGCCAGGGUGAGAACCACUACAGGACAAAAAUGAGCUCCUUUUUUCCAGUCUCAGCCCAGGAGGGAUCUUCACAGAGAAAGCAAGCCCAGCCCAUCCCCACAGCUGGCUCCCUGGUGCCCAUUCUGAAAGGCUGGACCCAUCCUGACCUGUCCCUGCCCCAAGGACUGCCUGGUGAGGGAUGGCUUACCAACACUGUGACUCAGUCCUUCCAACAUGCCCAACAGGUCAAUUCUGGGAUAUUCCUUACAGGAAUUAAUGAGAGCACAUUGCCGGUAAUGUUGGCAUUAGUAGAUUACAUUUAAAUUUAAAAAUUCCUUUUAUGGGGUUUAAGAAUAGAGACAAGACACCCAUGCAAUAAAGAAAGGAGGAGACUUUGCCUGGUCUAAUGGAGAAGCUGGAGCUGCAUUGUUGGGUACAGUGGCCAGUGGCUACACCUGGCUUUUGAGCCCUUGCACAGUGGCAAGGACACAUUGAGAUGUGCCCUAGGUGCAAGAUACACACAGGAUUUCAAAGACUGAGUAUGAAAAAAGAAGAAAAAAUGUCUCAUUAAUAUUUUUAUAUUGGUUGCAUGUGGAAGUGAUAACAUUUUGGAUAUAAAGUUGACCUUUGAACAGUAUGGGUUUGAACUGCACAGGUCUGCUUAUAAGUGAAAUUUCUUCUGCCUCUGCCACCCCUGAGACAGCAAGACCAACCCUCCACUUCCUCCUCCUCCUCCUCCUCCUCAACCUGCUCAACGUGAAGAUGAUGAAGAUCAAGACCUUCAUGAUGAUCUACUUCCACUUAAUGAAUAGUAAAUAUAUUUUCUCUUCCUUGUGAUUUUCUUAAUAACGUUUUCUUUCCUCUAGCUUAUUUUGUUGUAAGGAUACAGUGGUAUAUAAUAUUUAUAACAUACAAAAUAUGUGUUAACCAACUCUGCUAUCAGUAAGGCUUCUGAUCAACAGUAUGCUAACAUUUUUGGACAGUAGUUAAGUUUGGGCAGAGUCAAAAGUUAUAGGCAGAUUCUUGAUUGUGUGGGGUAUUGGCAUCCCUAAUCUCUGCACUGUUCAAGGGUAAACUGCAUUAGCUGAAAUAAAGCAUAUUCUUAAAAUGAA
This 2898-nucleotide long non-coding RNA is filed under the name Homo sapiens (human). Its description in RNAcentral is "HSALNT0385964". The record is from RNAcentral. Lineage: Eukaryota; Metazoa; Chordata; Mammalia; Primates; Hominidae.